RNAcentral lists this ribosomal RNA (448 nucleotides) under uncultured bacterium. RNAcentral describes it as "bacterial SSU rRNA". It matches the Rfam family "Bacterial small subunit ribosomal RNA", at positions 355 to 825 of the family's 1533-position model. The record is from RNAcentral.
UGGGGAAUCUUGCACAAUGGGCGAAAGCCUGAUGCAGCAACGCCGCGUGCGGGAAGAAGGCCCUCGGGUUGUAAACCGCUUUCAGAAGGAACGAAACUGACGGUACUUUCAGAAGAAGGUGCGGCCAACUACGUGCCAGCAGCCGCGGUGACACGUAGGCACCAAGCGUUGUCCGGAUUUAUUGGGCGUAAAGAGCUCGUAGGCGGUUCAGUAAGUCGGGUGUGAAAACUUUGGGCUUAACCCAAAGCGUGCAUCCGAUACUGCUGUGACUUGAGUACGGUAGGGGAGCGGGGAAUUCCUAGUGUAGCGGUGAAAUGCGCAGAUAUUAGGAGGAACACUGGUGGCGAAGGCGCCGCUCUGGGCCGAAACUGACGCUGAGGAGCGAAAGCAUGGGUAGCAAACAGGAUUAGAUACCCCGGUAGUCCCUGAGCGGGCUGGCAAGGCGCAU